CAAGUGUGGUGUUAGCAGGCGCCGUAAUUCCAGCUCCAAUAGCGUAUAUUAAAGUUGUUGCAGUUAAAAAGCUCGUAGUUGAACCUUGGGCCUGGCUGGCCGGUCCGCCUCACCGCGUGUACUGGUCCGGCCGGGCCUUUCCUUCUGGGGAACCUCAUGCCCUUCACUGGGCGUGUUGGGGAACCAGGACUUUUACUUUGAAAAAAUUAGAGUGUUCAAAGCAGGCCUUUGCUCGAAUACAUUAGCAUGGAAUAAUAGAAUAGGACGUGUGGUUCUAUUUUGUUGGUUUCUAGGACCGCCGUAAUGAUUAAUAGGGAUAGUCGGGGGCAUCAGUAUUCAAUCGUCAGAGGUGAAAUUCUUGGAUUGAUUGAAGACUAACUACUGCGAAAGCAUUUGCCAAGGAUGUUUUCAUUAAUCAGUGAACGAAAGUUAGGGGAUCGAAGACGAUCAGAUACCGUCGUAGUCUUAACCAUGAACUAUGCCG
This 484-nucleotide ribosomal RNA is filed under the name uncultured Cladosporium. Its description in RNAcentral is "SSU rRNA". It matches the Rfam family "Eukaryotic small subunit ribosomal RNA", at positions 556 to 1044 of the family's 1831-position model. The record is from RNAcentral. Lineage: Eukaryota; Fungi; Ascomycota; Dothideomycetes; Cladosporiales; Cladosporiaceae.